UUCUCGCAGAACACUCUCGGAAAAAACAAUUCUACCAUGACAUGUUUGGUUAGAUCAAUCAUGUAAAACUGACAUCUGUAUAAUUUUUAGAAGCAGACUUUCGUAAGGUUAAAAAUUAAGGGAUGAUCCAAGUGCAGUAGAGACUUGAAUUAAUAAUUUAGUUUAACGGAACUGCUCUUGGCAGUGUUUUAAGCACUCCUGAAUAUCUUGGCGCCACAUGGAGGGAUGAUGCCUCUCUCCCUGAUGUCACUGCAAGCUUGCAGGCACCCAGCAAUGUUGCAGGAGGAGCUGAGAGACUCGAACCAGCUCCUGCCAGCUCCACCCUGGCAGUGGUCUGCCAAUACUGCACCAACACCUGGAGCCCAGGCCAGUCGAUUCAGACUCAGAGUGCUGCUGCCUGGGCUGUAAAACUCCAUCUACACUCCGAGACAGAGUCUUAGUGCCAGGCACUCAGGAGCCUACUGGGUAUUUGUUUUUUAACCCAGAGAUUAACCAGAGAUUAAAUGUAAAAAAACACUUAACAUCAAAA
Long non-coding RNA from Lepisosteus oculatus (spotted gar), 529 nucleotides. RefSeq lists it as uncharacterized. Lineage: Eukaryota; Metazoa; Chordata; Actinopteri; Semionotiformes; Lepisosteidae. The record is from RefSeq and is a predicted model, not a curated record.